Molecule: ribosomal RNA, 381 nt
Filed under: uncultured cyanobacterium
Lineage: Bacteria; Bacillati; Cyanobacteriota
Description: bacterial SSU rRNA
Rfam family: Bacterial small subunit ribosomal RNA
Source: RNAcentral
GGUACAAUCCGCGUGAGGGAACCAAGGCUUUUGGGUUGUAAACCUCUUUUCUCAAGGAAGAAGCACUGACGGUACUUGAGGAAUCAGCAUCGGCUAACUCCGUGCCAGCAGCCGCGGUAAUACGGAGGAUGCAAGCGUUAUCCGGAAUUAUUGGGCGUAAAGCGUCCGCAGGUGGUACAUCAAGUCUGCUGUCAAAGACUAGGGCUUAACCCUGGAGCGGCAGUGGAAACUGAUGAACUAGAGUACGGUAGGGGUAGAGGGAAUUCCCAGUGUAGCGGUGAAAUGCGUAGAGAUUGGGAAGAACACCAGUGGCGAAGGCGCUCUACUGGACCUGUACUGACACUCAGGGACGAAAGCUAGGGGAGCGAAAGGGAUUAGAUA